GCACCAUAGCUCAGUGGCAGAGCACAUGCUUUGCACGCAAAGGGUUCUAGAUUCAAUCCCUGUGAGUUCA
Non-coding RNA from Phrynosoma platyrhinos (Desert horned lizard), 70 nucleotides. NCBI's taxonomy places the organism in Eukaryota, Metazoa, Chordata, Lepidosauria, Squamata, Phrynosomatidae. The record is from the annotation of a GenBank genome assembly.